Molecule: ribosomal RNA, 433 nt
Filed under: uncultured bacterium
Lineage: Bacteria
Description: partial 16S ribosomal RNA
Rfam family: Bacterial small subunit ribosomal RNA
Source: RNAcentral
AACGAACGCUGGCGGCAGGCCUAACACAUGCAAGUCGAGCGGACCCUUCGGGGUUAGCGGCGGACGGGUGAGUAACGCGUGGGAACGUGCCCUUUGCUUCGGAAUAGCCCUGGGAAACUGGGAGUAAUACCGGAUACGCCCUUUUGGGGAAAGAUUUAUCGGCGAAGGAUCGGCCCGCGUUGGAUUAGGUAGUUGGUGGGGUAAUGGCCUACCAAGCCGACGAUCCAUAGCUGGUUUGUGAGGAUGAUCAGCCACACUGGGACUGAGACACGGCCCAGACUCCUACGGGAGGCAGCAGUGGGGAAUCUUAGACAAGGGGGGAAACCCUGAUCGAGCCAUGCCGCGUGAGAGAUGAAGGCCUUAGGGUUGUAAAGCUCUUUCACCGGGGAAGAUAAUGACGGUACCCGGAGAAGAAGCCCCGGCUAACUCCGUG